GUCACUCGCCCGACAUCCCCGGGCUGAGCAUGUCGUCUCUCUCCUCCCCCUCACCUCUUCUCCUCCACCGCCCUCUCGUCUUCGCCCCCUCUCCUCCCCUCCGGCACAUCUCCCCCGCGAUUCCAAAGCCCUCCUCUCCUCCGCCUUCGGCCCGGGCCGGAGCUCGACUUUCUCGCCGGAGCCGCGGCAGAACCAUCUCUUCUUGCUCCCUCGAGCCCGCCCCCAUGGAAAGAACUUCCAUCGCCGAGGUCUCUCUUCCUCAGGACCUCCUAUCAUAUGCAAGGGCUUACUGGGUUGCUAGAUUUUUGAUUGCUUGGAAUAUCAAUGAUGACGAUGAUGCUUGUGUUUAUCUCUAUGCUAGUAGAAAGGCAAGCAUAUUCCUUACAGAUGAGGGCAUUGAAGGGUACGAUGUGAAAAUUUUGCUUGAACCAGAAUACAAUGGGCUUCCAGCAAAUGUAACCGAGAAGUUUCCUCAUAUUGUAAACUAUAGAGCUUUCAAGAUUUCACAAUCUGUGGAUAUUGGAAACCUUCUCAAAUGCCAGUUAGCAGCUGCCUUCUAUGUCGACGGGAAAUGCGAGAAUGCUACUGGUCUGCAAUUGCCUGGUGUCUUAGAUGACUUAUUUGCAUACAAUGGCCCUCUUGGAGCUGUGUUUAGUAAGGCAGCUGUUACACUUUAUCUUUGGGCUCCUACAGCUCAAGAGGUGAGUGUAUGUGUCUAUGAGGAUCCAUUAGGUGGGGAACCAGUGGAAAGUGUCCAACUUGAGGAGUUUGGUGGUGUCUGGAGUGCUGUUGGACCAAGAAGUUGGGAAGGUUGUUAUUAUGUUUAUGAAGUUUCAGUCUACCAUCCGAGCACUUCACGAAUUGAGAAAAGCACAGUAAAUGAUCCUUACGCUAGAGGACUUUCAUCAAAUGGGAAGAGGACGUGGUUGGUAAAUCUUGAUAGUGAAAAUUUAAAACCAGAGGGCUGGGAUAAGUUGGCAGAUGAAAAGCCAGGUCUUCUUUCAUUUUCAGACAUCAGUAUCUAUGAGCUGCACAUACGGGAUUUCAGUGCCAGUGACUACACUGUGAAUUGCGAUAUUCGAGGAGGUUAUCUUGCUUUUACUUCUCAGGAAUCAGCUGGUAUUUACCAUCUGAAGAAAUUGUCAAAUGCUGGUUUGACUCAUGUACAUUUGCUUCCAAGCUUUCAUUUUGCUGGUGUUGAUGAUGAUAAAAGUAAUUGGAAAUAUCUUGGUAAAGAUGAUGGAGAGAUGGCUAAGUUGCCCGCAGACUCAGAUAAGCAACAAGCUGUAGUUACAGCCAUUCAGGAUGAAGAUGGCUAUAAUUGGGGAUACAAUCCUGUGCUCUGGGGAGUUCCAAAGGGAAGCUAUUCUGGCAACCCAAAUGGACCAAGUCGUAUUCUUGAAUUCCGAAAGAUGAUUCAGGCAGUCAAUCGAAUUGGUCUUCGUGUUGUGUUGGAUGUUGUCUACAAUCAUUUGGCAGCAAGCGGCCCCUUAGAUGAGAACUCUGUUCUUGAUAAGGUUGUUCCUGGAUACUAUCUUCGUAGGAACACUGAUGGAGUCAUCGAGAAUAGUGCUUGCAUGAAUAAUACAGCUAGCGAGCACUUUAUGGUUGAGCAUUUAAUUCUUGAUGAUCUCCUAAACUGGGCGGUGGCUUAUAAGGUUGAUGGUUUCCGGUUUGAUCUCAUGGGACACAUUAUGAAGAGGACCAUGGUGAAGGCAAGAUCUACUCUUCAAAGCUUGUCAAAAGAAAAAGAUGGAGUGGAUGGUCCAAAAAUCUACAUAUAUGGUGAAGGAUGGGAUUUUGGUGAAGUUGCGAAAAACAAACGUGGGAUAAAUGCAUCACAAUUUAAUAUCUGUGGAACUGGCAUCGGGAGUUUCAAUGAUCGAAUACGAGAUGCGGUUCUAGGUGGAUCACCUUUUGGUCAUCCACUUCAACAAGGCUUUGUUACAGGUCUAUCUUUGGAGCCUAAUGGGUAUGACCAUGGUGAUAAAUCUGUCACAGACAGAAUGCUUUCAGCAUCAGCAGACCACAUCCAGGUUGGAUUAGCAGCUAAUUUGAGAGACUUUGUUCUUACAAAUCAUGAAGGAAAAGCUAUGAAAGGAUCUGAAGUUCUGACUCAUGAUGGAGUACCAGUUGGAUAUGCUUUAAGCCCCACAGAAACAGUCAACUAUGUGUCUGCACAUGACAAUGAAACUUUGUUCGACAUAAUCAGUUUGAAGACUGCACUGGAACUCUCAGUAGAUGACAGAUGUAGGAUAAAUCAUUUGGCCUCCAGUCUUGUAGCUCUUUCACAGGGAAUACCAUUUUUCCAUUCUGGUGAUGAAUUGUUGCGGUCAAAAUCCCUUGAUCGUGACUCGUAUGACUCUGGUGAUUGGUUCAACAGGCUUGACUUUAGCUUUGAAUCAAACAAUUGGGGUGUUGGACUUCCUCCAAGAGAAAAGAAUGAAAAGAAUUGGCCUCUGAUUAAGCCACGGUUAGCAAAUCCAUCCUUCAAGCCUCAUAAACAUCACAUUCUUGCUGCAGUUGACAAUUUUGUAGAUCUUUUGAAGAUUAGAUACUCUUCACCUCUAUUCCGUCUGAUGACAACAAAUGCCAUUCAGGAAAGAGUUCGUUUUCAUAAUACAGGACCCUCAUGGGUCCCAGGAGCCAUUGUUAUGAGUGUUGAAGAUGGACAUGAAGGAAGACCUGGCAUGGCUCAGCUAGAUCCAAUGUAAUCUAUUCGUAUAUCGUUAUUGUCUUUAAUGCAUGCCCGACUAAAAUCUCAUUACAAAUUCCUGCAUUGAAAUCAAGAAUGCUUCAGUUGCAUCCUGUACAGUUGAAAUCGGCAGACGAACUAGUUAAAGAAUCAUCAUACGAGGCUGCGUCCGGGUGUUUCACCAUUCCUCGGAGAACAACAUCAGUCUUUGUUGAAGUUAGGGGCGCUUGAGCAUGCCUGGUAUCUUUUGCUUUCAUAAGAGUGCGAAAGCAGUGAGGAUAUUGGUAACUGUUUUAGAUGCAGUAGCAACAUGUCUAAAGUUUGUCAUAGAAGAAAUUUAGAAUUAAUUGGAAAUAUACAAGGCUGAUAGGAACAAUGCUGUAUUUUGACAGUCAAAGGCUGUAGGAGGAAUCAGAGCACUACUCUCCAGCAGUUGAUUAACUCCAUCCUAAAACCUUGAAAUAAAAAUGCCUUGUGCAACCUUUAUGAAUGUGACGCUAUCGGUGUGGAUAUGAUGCAACUUUUUUGUUUUUUUAUCAAUGUUUCCAAAUUACUGGAAGAGCCAAAAUUUUUGUGAUGGAUGAUUCUGUUGUUAGCUUCCACAAAUCUCAUGCGUCUCUCUGAAGGCUGCAUGGUUUAACU
Non-coding RNA from Phoenix dactylifera (date palm), 3337 nucleotides. NCBI's taxonomy places the organism in Eukaryota, Viridiplantae, Streptophyta, Magnoliopsida, Arecales, Arecaceae. The record is from RefSeq and is a predicted model, not a curated record.